This is a long non-coding RNA of Cercocebus atys (sooty mangabey), 798 nucleotides long. RefSeq lists it as uncharacterized. The transcript is spliced from 3 exons. Lineage: Eukaryota; Metazoa; Chordata; Mammalia; Primates; Cercopithecidae. The record is from RefSeq and is a predicted model, not a curated record.
CAGCUAAGUAACUUACCCAAGGGCACAAAGCUAGCAGGAUCUGCUACCCUAAAAUCUAAGAAGCAUCAGAAGAAAGACUUUGUCUGCUUUGUUCGCUGCCCUAUCCCCAGUGCAGCUCAAGAAAUGUCCAACAGGGAGAAAGGAAGAGAAGUGGGGAUCCGAAAAAAAGAGGUGAGAAAUGGAGAAUCUGUCUUCUGCCUCCACUAAAAUGUCUCUCAUCAUGGCCAAGGUGGCUCAUGACCACACAAUUGCUAAAUGAAAUGGAAGCACUUUUUGUUAAUCUGGAUAUAGUCUUGAAAUUUUUGCCCUCAUAUUUUGAGACCACCUUCUCCUUGCUCUCUGACUGAACCUCCUUAUUUUCCUCUUCAAGAUCCCUUUUUUCUAUUGUCUCUUAAAUGUUAAAUUUACCCUAGGAAAUCGUCCUGAGUCCGCAGGUUCUUUUAGUCUCCCUAGGGAAUGGCCUCCAAGCUGGCGCCUACUCAGGCAGUGUUGUACUGCCCCCUACUGGUGUAACUGAAAAGUAGGUCAGUCGCACGCCACGUGUAGAGUCCAAUUUACAAGCACCAGGCCUGGCACAAGAAAAGUGAAUGUAUUUCCAAAACUAGUUUGGGAGGAGGGCAGGAAGUGUCCUCCUUUAAAUGUGCCACGUUGCCUUUGGAGCAAAAAGUGAACACUUUUAUAAGGUAAAAGAGAAGUGAGCAAGGCAGGGAGGUCUCCCUGCUACUGGGCAGUUAAACACUGAGCAGUUGAGUAGGUGCCCUACCUAGUCUCCAUUGUCUGCGUGCUUUAUUCCUCUUG